Salmo salar (Atlantic salmon) is the source of this 2913-nucleotide non-coding RNA. The record is from RefSeq and is a predicted model, not a curated record. NCBI's taxonomy places the organism in Eukaryota, Metazoa, Chordata, Actinopteri, Salmoniformes, Salmonidae.
AAGACUGGUUACUCGCAUCAACGCCUCUGUCUCGUCAUUUAACAUUCAAACACCUUCUGUUCGGUUUUCAUCCGUUUCUUUCUUGUUAAGCAUUUCCCCAUUCUUGAGUCAGACCUUAUGGGAAUGUGUGGGACAGAAGAGGAAUUUAUGACAAUUUAGCAUAGACAAUAGCUACAGUACUCUACUCUCACCAUGUCUACCAUUUAGGUUUAGCUAGUUAUGUUAUCCACUGCUAGCUAAUAACUUGCUAACACUAAUAGCUAGCUACCACAGAUGACAUUUUUAUAAUAAACUAGUAAGUUCGUCUUAAAAUUGGAACCACUAAUUUUAGUGUGCUGACAAAGGAUGAUAGUUAGCUAAUUUACCAGCUACCUAACUAGAGACUGAACAUGAGUUCAAAGGUUAGAUAGCUAGCUAGCUACCACGCUAAUCCCAAAAAACAUUCUAAACAAAUUGCAUGGAAUAUCAUGUCGAUGUUCGCUAACUAGCUAGCAAAUGUGAUCUAUUUAGCUAUAUCAUGCCAAGGAUUAUCUCGUGUUAAAACGUCUAGCAGAACGUCUAUAUUGAAAAAUACGUUUUAAAAUUGACCUAAUGCUAGCUAGCUAACGUUUCCUAGCCAGCUACUAUAGGUAGGACAGAGGUGCUAGUUGAGCAGCGGUGCUAAAUCCAGCAGAACUUCUGUAUUCAAAGGUGAAACAAAUUGCAUAGCGAAUUCACCCUCUCUACCCUGUAUCCUUUGAACAACGUUUUUGUCACGCAAUCUCUUGUCUGGACUUUGAACACUUCUCAUAGCCACGUUCAUCCUGAUUAUUUACGAUGCACUGUCACAUGAUGUAAGUGUCAAUUCAACAUUCUGGGCACGUUCCAGGUCGUCUUUAUUUCAAGCACGUUUCACAAUUUUUCAGAAACCUAUGAAUCACACCAAUAAUAUGUAUUGAAACCUUGAGCGUUAAUUUCUGUAAUAAGUAAGUGUACCAAUGCAUCAUCAGGGUUUCAAACAUGGGGCAAGACACAUCAUGGGAGUUGACCAUUGGUCUGAAAACCAACCAUUUCUGUUCCUGGGACAGAGCAACAAUGCAAACACACAAAAGUUAGAAAAUAACAAUUGAAAGUAAGGUUCCAUGAUGAUACAUAAGGGUUCAAUAUUAUGCGCACAUUAUGCAUUUAUAAAUGGUUAUUAGCUGGAGGUAAAUAGUGGCUCACUAUGUGGCAAGCACUGACUGGCUAUCACAGUAAUUUGAGAAAUUUGUUAUAACCCAUUUUUUAAUGGUUUAUAAUGCAUUGACAAUUGAUUAAAUAACCGUUGUAAUUGUAAUUACAAACCCUUCAUAAACCCUUUACAAAUGGAACGUUAUUGUAAAGUGUUACCUAAAUCGGUGGCCCCGGUCAAAUACAAGUAGAUGAACAGAGAAGGAAGGUUGUUAAACAUAAUCUCCCCCAGCUCAAGUUAGUACUUUCCACAGGGGUAUACUACAAAGCAGAAUCAAUGAGUUAGCCAGCUAAGUUUGAUGAGCAUCCAGAAAUAACUAUUGACUUUCUGGUUCAUUAAGAAUCUAAACAGAUAAGCUUGAAAUGACUCAAUCAAAAACACAUAUCUUUCAAAACAAAUAAAAGGUUAUUCCUGAACAUUUAUCCAAGUUAGCUGGCUAACUAAUUGAAGCUGCUUUGUAUUAUACCCCUCUGGUUUGUUAACCCUACCUGGAGUGACAGGUGAACACCGAGACAGAGGCAUGAUAUGAGUUUGACCAAUCAGAAGAACUAGGAUGAAGACGAGGCCACAUAGUACAUGACUGGAUAGAGCCUUCUGAAAUGCAACAAGCACAAUGGCUCAUGCCCCAAGUAAUGAGGAGGCCCUGACAAGUCUGGCUGAGCAACCAGUAGGCAUGUCCAGAGUAGACGACAGAGGAUGGAUCCCACUACAUGAGGCCGCAGUACAGGAGAAGAAAAGUAUUCUGGUGAUCGUUUUCUCAGCCUCCCCCAGGGUGCAGGGCAGUGCCGGACUCUGAAGGGAGAAAUGCCUCUCUUCCGGGAGAAUGCUACAUUCCUGCUACAGAACGGAUGCUGUCCUGACCUCCAGAACGAUGAUGAGGAAUCUCCGCUCGUGGCAGCUUUAGUAAAUUACCAAAAUGACAGUGCCUCGCUCCUGCUUUGCUGCAAUGCCAAGGUAGACCAAAAAGGAGAUCUGGAGUGGACUGGCCUCCAUGAGGCCUCCCUCCUGGAUCUGAACAAUUAUGUUUACCUGCUCCUGUAGUCUGGAGCCGACCCAAACGCAUGUGAUGUCGACUCUCUGACCCCUGGCACUGGCUGCAGAGACGGGGCACCUGAAGGGGCUGCUGAGAUGUAUAGCCGCGGGCUAUGCACCCAGUGCCUGGAGGUCCUUCUCAACACAGGCUACAACCCUAACAUCAUGCUCCACCCAGGGGGGGGUGCAGUAAAUAUGAUGUUGAAUGCAGGUCACUACUUCGCUGUGUCAAACAAUGAUGUCCAGUCCACCCGUCUGCUGAGGUCAUGGUCAACCAGGACCUUGUCAACUGUCUACAGGUGGCACUGUGGCUGGGAAACUAGGAUCUUAUAAACACUCUGCUGAGGUAGGAAUCAAACUCAAGUCAAAUCAAACUUUAUUCAAUAAAGUGCAUUUCAAAGUCUCAAUGCACUUUACAGUAACAUACAGCCUAUUCGGAAAGUAUUCAGACCCCUUAACUUUUUCCUUAUUUUGCUUUAUUCUAAAAUGGAUGAAAUAUUUUUUUCCCCUUAUCAAUUUAUACACAAUAGCCCAUAAUGACAAAGCAAACCUGUUUUUUUUUUAAUUAUUGCAAAUUUAAAUAUAAAAAAAGGUGAUAUCACAUAAGGAUUCAAACCCUUUACUCAUUACUGUGUUAAAGCACCUUUGGCAGCCAAUACAGCCUGACGUCU